GACGAACGCUGGCGGCGUGCUUAACACAUGCAAGUCGAACGGAAAGGCCCUGCUUUUGUGGGGUGCUCGAGUGGCGAACGGGUGAGUAACACGUGAGUAACCUGCCCUUGACUUUGGGAUAACUUCAGGAAACUGGGGCUAAUACCGGAUAGGAGCUCCUGCUGCAUGGUGGGGGUUGGAAAGUUUAGGCGGGUGGGGAUGGACUCGCGGCUUAUCAGCUUGUUGGUGGGGGAGUGGCUUACCAAGGCUUUGACGGGUAGCCGGCCUGCGAGGGUGACCGGCCUCAUUGGGACUGCGAUACGGCCCAGACUCCAACGGGAGGCAGCGGUGGGGAACAUUGCCCAAUGGGCGGAAGCCUGAUGCAGCAACGCCGCGUGCGGGAUGACGGCCUUCGGGUUGUAAACCGCUUUCGCCUGUGACGAAGCGUGAGUGACGGUAAUGGGUAAAGAAGCACCGGCUAACUACGUG
Molecule: ribosomal RNA, 468 nt
Filed under: uncultured bacterium
Lineage: Bacteria
Description: partial 16S ribosomal RNA
Rfam family: Bacterial small subunit ribosomal RNA
Source: RNAcentral